Molecule: ribosomal RNA, 125 nt
Filed under: uncultured bacterium
Lineage: Bacteria
Description: partial 16S small subunit ribosomal RNA
Rfam family: Bacterial small subunit ribosomal RNA
Source: RNAcentral
ACUCCUACGGGAGGCAGCAGUGGGGAAUUUUGGACAAUGGGGGAAAGCCUGAUCCAGCAAUGCCGCGUGAGUGAUGAAGGCCUUAGGGUUGUAAAGCUCUUUCGCCCGGGAUGAUAAUGACAGUA